Molecule: non-coding RNA, 55 nt
Filed under: Sus scrofa (pig)
Lineage: Eukaryota; Metazoa; Chordata; Mammalia; Artiodactyla; Suidae
Source: RNAcentral
AGGUUGUCCGUGAUGUAUUUGCUUUAUUUGUGGCAGAUAUUGCACGGUUGAUCUC